GCGGGCUGGACCUCUCGGGGUUACAGCCUUGCUGAAUUAUUCACCC
Molecule: ribosomal RNA, 46 nt
Filed under: Alternaria tenuissima
Lineage: Eukaryota; Fungi; Ascomycota; Dothideomycetes; Pleosporales; Pleosporaceae
Description: partial 18S ribosomal RNA
Source: RNAcentral